GGUCUAUUAUAGUAUUUAAUAUUGUGUGAUUUCAGGUGUUGUGGAGCUAUACUAUAUGAGGUUAUAACAUUUGUUUUGUUUUUGCUUUUAUCUCCUUGCCAUGGUCUGAAGAAGCCAUAUUGUUGUAAGGUUGAUGACAAAUGAGGUCAUGGCCUGUUUCAGUAUGAAGUGGGGGAAGGGGAAGCUUGCCUUCACCAAGAUCAAUCUGUACACUGUUGUCACAGAGAGUGUCCAGAAAACAUCAAAAGAGACGGGGCAAAUAUUGCAGCGGCCACCGCCUUUUGUUUAAAAUAUGCCCCAGCAGAGCCGUCGCAAGAAGGGUGAGAGGCCCUGUGCAAAGUUGACAUGCGAGGCCCUCUACAAUUUUGCGUGUGUGUGUGUGUGUGUGUGUGGUGGGGGAGGUUGCUGUAGUAAGGCAAGGCAAGUUUAUUUAUAUAGCAGAUUUCGUACACAAUGGUAAUUCAAAG
Molecule: long non-coding RNA, 467 nt
Organism: Cyprinus carpio carpio
Lineage: Eukaryota; Metazoa; Chordata; Actinopteri; Cypriniformes; Cyprinidae
Source: Ensembl